GAUAGUUUUCAGGCAACUUACUGAAAGGCUUUUAUGCAGACUCAGCAGAAGACCAUCUGAACUUACAUCUGCAUGGAAAAGUUUAGGCAUCCUUGGUGAAACCGUAUUUUCAAUGAAUCCCUUGGUGACUUGAAGCUGGCACAAACUUAAGGACAUCUUCCUGCAAAUGUGAAUGCACACUUACUCUUUAUGUCCUUUACAGCAUCUGGAAGACUAUGAGGUCCAGUGUUUUGUAAUUAAGUAGUUGCUGGAAAUAAAAUAUCUGAAUUCUAAUAACGUCUAUUUAAAUCCAUGCUUCCACUUACAUGUUAUGAAACAUCCCUCAUUCGUAAUAAUUAUGUUAAUGACCCAGAGACUCUUAACUUGUCAUAUUUUCUGUGAUGAAGAAAGCUCAGCUACAGCCCCAGUGCUACCGCAGUAUUAUUUCCUCCAUUGUCUUCUUUUACUUUGACUCACAUUUUUUUUAUUCCUCAUGUUCUGUCAUAUUCCCGAUCCUCCAUCACAAAUGAAUCAUCAACUCCUAAAAGAGUUACAUAGAGGGGAAGGGGAAGAAAUAGAGAUUAUUGUUAGCUGUUUGUAUCCCAGGUGUUUUGAUGUAGUAAGUAAAAUGCAUUUUUAGCUGCUUGCAUCUCAAAUUAUUUGAUUGCUAAUUGAACAUCUCAUGUGCUAGCCUAUUGGAUUAAGGGAGAAAAGGGAUUUUUUUUUUCUUUGAUAUAAGGUUCUUCCUUGUAUUUCCUCCUCAGGAUGGGUGUAUUUGUGAAUGAGAGAAAGUUCAAAGUAACUAAUAAAAAUGAAUAAUAGCAAAUCUUACUUCCUUUUAAGUAAACGUCCUCCUGCCUUUAAGCAGAAUGGUUCACCAAAAUGAACUGCUGUGGCAUGACCAGGCACAUCACUCACAAAAUUUGCCAGCAUCCAUGUCAAAAUCCUUUUCAGUUCAAAAGCUGAGUACAAAAAGCAUUUAAAAGGUCAGGAACUGCAUACAAAAAUAUCCAUGAUGAGGAAGGAUUAUACUCCCCUACCGAAACAAGUGUGGAUUUUCUUAAAGCAAAUUGGUAGAACUUUGAUGGAAGUGAAUUACCUUGGAAUGCCAGAAUGAUAUUCACCUGGAGCAACAUAGACUGAUAAUUCCUAAUAAGUAUGAUACAGAACAAUUCUCAUGUGCAUUUUUUCUACCAGUUUAUUGAAAAAUGGUUUGUUUUUGAAAUUCCUUCAAAAGGAAAUUUUAGUAAAUAUAUCAUAGUUGAAGUCUGAUAUUUAUAUGCUUUUUGCACAUCACCCAUCAUAUUUAACAGGGCCCCAAGAAGGGAGGUAAGCAUGUUGUUCAAAACUUAGCUAAUUGUUUUUUUUUUCUUCCUAGCAUUUUUCCACUGGUGCAGGGUCUCUUUUUCAGAUCAGUGUUGAUCCAUUGCUAGCAACAGGAAUUGACCAACCAGCUUGUCGCCCGAGCCUGAUGUCGUGGGCUGAGAGAGAGGGACUGGCCCAAGUACUCUGCAGAUUAAGAAGUCUCACCUGCUGAAAGCCAACAGUGGUGAUUAUCUCUGCCAGCACUGCUCAAUUUCCAUCUGCUUUCCAGUAUCUAACAGGGACUCUUGUUUACACAUGCCCUGUUGGAUAUUCAGAACAAUCCUGAAGACUCAACAGCAACCAGAAAAGUUCUUCUUGAAUCUCGUCCAUCUGCCUGAGUAUCUGGUGCUUGCUCUGCUCUCUGGAAAUGAUCAAACUGAGCAGAUGCCUUUUGGAUGCCUUUUAAACUGGUUUCAGGAGGGCUUGAGAGAUGGAAAUAGUGUCCUCCUGAAAAUGAUAAUAAAUGAUAACUUACUGAAAGUUGCAUUUACAUUUGGCAUUUUGCUUCUCUGCCUUUGAAUUAGGCAGGUAUGUAUUUAUGGAUGUUAUGACUUGCAGUAUAUCAUUUUAAAAAAGAAAACUGAAUGUACUUUCCCUAGCUCUGGGAGAACUAGCUGUGUUUCAUUCUCACUGAACAGUACACGUUUUAGGGAAGAAGAAUUCCAAAUGCACAAGCAUUAUUGUUGGUGACACCUCUCAGACAAGGGGGAAAACACAGCUGAUCUUUGGAUUCCAGAUGGAGUCUGCAAUUAUGACAGAGAGGCAACCAAAAGAAAAAGAAUGGAAAAGAAAUAAAGAAUCUCUUUGCCUGCGGUGUAAUUAGAUUUUGAUGCCACAAUGAGAGAAAUUAAACAAUUGGCUUUAUUGUGCUUUUUUCCCCCCAGUUUAACUGUAAUAAAAAGUGCAAUGUUUAGAGAUACAAUCUUUCCAGUGGCUUCCCGCUGAAGUCAAAAUAUGGAAAAGGAGUUUGAUUGAGUGCAGGAUUUCUCACCCAGCUAUCAAUCAGCUAUGAGCUUCCAGGAAUGGAUUUGCAAGAUUGUCAGGCUCCCCAAUCAAAUGUUCCCAGAACAUCUUAUCGGACUCGCAUCCACCUUCAAGCAACCCGUGUCAGCAGACU
This is a long non-coding RNA of Candoia aspera, 2461 nucleotides long. RefSeq lists it as uncharacterized. The record is from RefSeq and is a predicted model, not a curated record. The transcript is spliced from 2 exons. Lineage: Eukaryota; Metazoa; Chordata; Lepidosauria; Squamata; Candoiidae.